UGCUAAGAUUACAGGCAUGAGCCACUAUGCCCAGCUGGCAUUUAUUUUCUUAAAGAAAAAAAAAAUCUAAAUACUUGGGGGAAAUGGGAGUUGAGCAAAAGACUGACACUAACAGCAGAAUGAAUCAUUUUUAUAUCUUCUUUACCUUCUUUACUGGGAAAGGUGGCUGGCUCAGCAGGGAAGGAGUGUAUGAGGAGACUGUGUAAAAUGUGUCUUGUCGCGUUGUUGGUAAGCCGCUAAGCAAAUGUCUUUAACAUUAAUUUGAAAUUAGGUCUUGACAAAAUCUUGAGAAAUUAAAACAGGAAAAUAGAUAUUUGUACUCUAGGAUGAUAAUUAAAAUUGUAAUAUGAAGAGUAAAUUGAGGGGUCAUAUUGAAAGGGAAUAAUAGUAGAAGACAAAAAGAAAACAAGGAACCAAACAAAACUUCAGCUCCUCUAAUGGCAUGCACAGAACAUAGAAGUUUCUGAUGAAGGAACUGGCAAAAAAGACAGAAAAGGAACUGCUGGGGUAAAAUGGCAACAUGCUGGGAGAACACAGGUUUGCAGCUCUUGUGGGAGAAAUACUUUCAAGAAGAAAGAAGUAGUUAAUAAUGCAAAAUACUCAGGUGAGCACCAGGGAAUAAAGGAUGGAGAAAUAUUUUGAAUUUUUCAGGACAAUAUUUAGUGUGAGUAAAUUUAGAAGGCACAAAAACUGAACAGCUGAAAUGAUCUGUGAGAAGAUAGAUAUUGUCAUGGACUGAAGACCAAGGUUACAUGGAAAGAGAAAUGGACUGGAUAAUAGUUGAAAAGAUUAGACAGCAAACAUGUUUUUCUUUUAAGAAAAGAUAAGAAGAUUGAUUGAGGUCAAAGUGCAAUGAGUCAAGGAUAGUGACAACUGGAAGAACAGGAAGCAGUUUGGCGGUGGCGGAUAGGUGAGGCACAAGGACGUCAGCACUGGAUUCAGACAAACCGGCGUGUAUUGCGCGUGUACUUUGGGUGGCCCUGUGCUGCGUCAGCUGGAAGGGAUCCAGAGAAAAAGACAGAGCCCUCUUUGAAGACAUCCAGAGAGAGAUCUAGGAUGUUGGGAAGGAACAAAGAAAUUCAGGCAUCUCUCCUGAGAAGAGAAAGGGAGUAGAAUGCUCCAUCAUGAUGCUAACCACAAGAAUUGACUUGACGGGACAGAAUCAAGGGGAAGAACGUCAGUGAAACUUCUGGUGACAAUCACCCACUUAGCUGGCGUCAAAACAGGCCCUAUUCCUCAGUACCCGGUAUCAAGAGAAGACAACUUUCAGAAGCCCAUUGCCUAGACUUGGAGGAGGCUCUUAAUAUGUUUUUUUUCCACAUUUCAUAAAUUCUUAGGAUUUUUUAAAUUUAAUAUCCUUUAUGAACUAAGGUCAACAAAACUUUAAUCAGUGAAUAUAUUUUUGGUUCUGAGAGUUAGAACACUCCUCCCUUUUAAAACAAAAAAGUUUUUAGAAUUUUGUUGUUAAAUAUAUCUGGACAUAUGAAGAAAACUGAAGUUAUCAGCCUUUUCAAUUGAAUCCUGACACUGAAAUUGUCUUUUGAAACUUACUUUUGUGUAACUAUCCUGGCUCACUGGCACUCUGCUCUGGAAUUAAAUUUCCCUAAUUUCUGUCAACUUUUUGAAUCUGCAACAGUGGGAGCAUAUGAUAUGCUGUAUGAGUAACUGCACAAGUUAUUGUUAGAAAAAUUCCUACUGAUAAGCCCUAUGAGUUUUAUCUGUAACUGUGCAAGUAACCUAAGUAUCUUGUGGAAUUAGAGGCAAUAGUCUGUUUUACAAAGAGUAGGAGAGAGAGAGAAAGAGGUAGAGACAAAGACCAAGACCAGGAGAGGAAGAAGGAGAGAGACAGAAAGGGAGGCAGAGGGAAGAAAGGAAAGAAGAAAGAAAGAAAACAUUAGCAUAAUUUUCCAAGAAUAGGCAUCUCAGUGUCUUGCCUAGAAAUCAAGGUCUUCCUCUGCUCAGAAGCACAGAAACUGUCCAGGAGGGGAAGCUCUAAGUAACGAUAACAAUAGAAACUGAUUGGCUUGACAAUGAGAUAAGACCAGGUAUGUUCCCGGUGACCCACAGUGAAGGAAAAUUCAGUUUUUGCACAGUUUCACUGUGUGGAGAGAAUAUAGCACCAUUACAAAACUUCUUUUAAAGAAAAGACACUUUGGGAAUUGGCCUCAUCUGUUUUUUUGUAGGCAGUUCAGAUAGGAAUAAAGGAAAGAAGAAAACAUCUCCUUCCUUAUUCCCCAUCUGUUUAUCUCACUAUUUCUCAUCCUCCUUACAGACACUCAGCUGGAGGUUCACAGAUCCAGUUUCUUGUAGAUUGCUCCUCAAUGUUGUGGGUAAUUUUAGGCAAAAUAUGCAAAUUUCUUGUUUGGCAUAAGGUUUUUCUUUCUCCUGCUAAAACAAAAAUGUUUCCGCUACAAACCAUUUAAAUACUUCGUAGGGAUUUUGUCAGGAUUAAUGAGGCAACAGACAGUCACAGGUGAUUAUACUUAUUUCAAGAAUGCAUUAUUUUAGUAUGUCUAUUUGGCAUUACAUUGAUUUUUUUUCAGGUCAUUAGCUUAUUAAUUUCUACUAGACAGCAGAGCUGCUGUGUCUUGUUAUUUUUGGAGUUAAAAUGGUGUAAUAUUCUCAGAGAGCUAGACAUCAACUUAGUGAACUGGAACUGGAGAAUAAUUUAUUCUUUGCUACCAUAGAUGUUAAUUAUUUACCACAAGACAGAGCUGGGCAAGAAGAAAUCUCAGAACUUUAGUUUGGAUACAGACUUUGCUUUUUAUGGUCUGUUUCAAUCCCUUUAUUUUACAGAUAAGUAGAUUAAAACAAUUAUGAUUAAGUAUCUUCUCUUAUGUCACACAGUUGUUAUUGAUUGGUUUAUACUUAGGAGCUAGAGCAAGUGUUCCCAGGGAGUACAUUUUGUACUGAAUAUAGCUGUCUUUGUGAAGAGAAAAAUAACAAGAUUUGUAGGUACUGAAAGUUACCCAGAAAUCUCACAUUAGUCUAGGAAGAGGUAUGUAUUAUGAUGCUCAGGGUUACUGUGGCUUGAUAUAAUUAAACAGAUGUAUAUUCGUCUCCUAGAGUCUUCAAAAUAAUGAUAGUGGUGACGAUGACGAUGAUGAUAGUUAGCAGUUUUUAAAGGCUUACUCUGCAACAGGAAUUAUACCUAGAGGUUUAUACACAUUAUCUCAUUUAUUUCCUAAAAUGAUGCCAUGAGGUUGGAUCUAUUAUUUCUUCCAGUCUACAGAAGAAGAACCUGAAGCUUAGAGAUAUUUGGUAAAUUGUUGCAACUUCACUCUGUAAGUAAAUGUCAGAUCUGACCAAUAUGAUGCCACCCUAUGCCUUGUCACAGUAUUAUUCUGCUAUACGUUUGAGAAUCUGCCAAAUUUUCUUAGGCUCAUUAUCCACUACCACCAUAUUCUGACUUGUGGUGGAAUUAAUAAUAUUUCUAGAAGAAAUAUUUGCAAUAUUUAAGCAAAUUUUAGAAUUUUUAUACUAGAAAUAAGAUCUUGGACAUAAUGUAACUGUAUGUCUAGGUGGUGCUAAGUAACGAGACUUUCUGCACUGAGUUUUAGAAUGAAGAAUGGGAAGGAAAGCUCUUCCUAAAUAAAGCAGGAAACAUGGAUACCAGCUUACCAUUUGUAACCAGAGGUGUUUCUUAAUCUUUUUCAGAUCAGUUGUACAAAAGUUAAGACAGCAAUAAUGGUUUUUAUAGAAUGUUCUCAUGACGGUUAAAUAUUAAGAUGUAUGUGAAGUACAUAGCCCAGUACUAGAAAGAUCUGGCGUCUCUUCUGAUUAUUUAUUGCCUGUGCUGUACCAGUUAAUGUUUGGAAUAUCAGUACUGUAUUCAACAGAUAUCUAUUUGAUAUCUAGUAUGUGAUUGGGCCAGUAAUAGGCCCUAAGGGGACAGUACUAUUUUUAUCUUCAUGGUGCUCACUUUCUAGUUGAAGGAGGUAGAAAAAAUAAUUAUUGCGGGUAGUGAUAAGUGAAACAAAAAUAAUAAGACAGGAUUGGGGUAGAGUGACAUGAAUUGGGGAGAAGGAAGGAUUCCAUGAGAUCAGUUGUGAAAGGAGGCUUCUAAGAAAGCAACACUGGAGUUGAGAAGGGAAUAAGAAAGAGCCAACUACCUGGAGAUUGGUAGAAGGAUGAAAAGACAUGCACAAGAUUUGAAGAAGAGUUUAUGAAGAUGAAGGCUUCCAAUGAACUGAGAUUUCUACAUCAUGGGGAGGGUAAUAAAAAUGCUCUUUAAAAUAUGUUAAACAAGGUAUCUGUAUCUAUGUCUGCAUGAAAGUAGAGAGGAGACAGAAUAGCUGAUGCAACAGAUGACAGUGAAUAAUCGAGUAUCUACAGCUUCUACAAUGAUCAUCAACCAGGUUCUUUCUGCCCAACUGCAGCAAGUCAAUCACUGAGAUAAUGGAUUUUGCAAAAGAGAAGACUAUUCAUGAGGCAGCCAGUGAGGAGGUGAAGAACAGGUCUCAACUCCACCUCCCAGAAGAUAAGGCUUAGGGAUAUUUAUAGGUUAUAGAAGUGGGGUCAGCUAAGAUGUGGGAAAAGGUGAUUGUCAGUGGGGGAAAAAUGAAGCAAUCAGUGAUCUAUGCAAACAUAGUUGGGAUAUGUGGCAUUUCAUAGGACACAUUUGCAGAAAAUGAUGGUAUUAUGAUCUGAGGGUGGAAUUUUUGGUCCUCUGAUGUCAAAAUGCUCUCCGGCAUUUACAGAGGCCCAGCUGAAGAGUCAACCAGUUUGAACUGGUCAGGAGCUGUCCCACAUUCCUGAAAAAUAACUGAAGUGACCAUUACCAUGGUGAUUUAUAAAUGUUCAAUUUAUUAUGCCGCUAAUGAAGGUUAAGUUUCAGCGUUCAGUGGUGCAGCCUUCAAUUACUGUGGCUUUCAGCUUCAUGAAAAAAAAAAAAAAAAAAGAAAAGAAAAAGAUAAAAAGCAGGUAACCAAAAGCAAGCAGGGCAUGCUAAAUUUGGCAGACCUAAUCAGAUGAAUCCUCUGUUUCACAGUGCUAUUUUGUUUAUAAUCUUCUUUAUCCAGGAGAACAUUAUUUGAACUAAAAAGAACAAAGCAAGAAUGGUCUGAAAUCACAAGGGGUUCAGAAGAAUGAAACAGAUGAUCUGGAUACUUUUAGAAGGAGUAAUAAUUAUUAAUCCCAACAAAUGACAUUCUUCAGUGUCUAAGCAUUUUCUUUUGUGAUUAAAGAGCUGCCGUGAACAAACCUGGAGGAGAACGUGAUGGGUACCAGAGACCAGAAAUUUACACAUGGCUAUGUUUUCAAAGGACAGGUCAAGAUGUUCCAGCUACUUGGGAAGCUGAGACAGGAUAUCUGCUUGAGCCCAGGAGUUCGUGGCUGCAGAGAGCUGUGAUCACACCACCGCACUCCAGCCAGGGCAACAGAGUGAGACCCUGACUCCAAAAGCAAAAACAAAAGAGCAAAAACGAGAUUCCAAUGUAUACUCCCACCAAUUAAUUUGAAGGUGACCAUAUCCCUCCUAUCAAAUACUGUCACUCAUUUACAUCUUUGCCAAAUGUGGGAAAACAUAAAGUUUGGCAACCCUAUAUUGACUCCACCAUGCCUUGGGAAAGGCAGCCCGCAUCAGUGGCAGGAAAUAUUGGUGGAGCGAGCUGGGACUUGCAGGUGACCAAGAAGGGGGAUCCCGGAACCGGAAUUGUCUCCCUUGGCGUUCCGGAAGUAGAAGCAGAGUCAUUGCUGGGUGGCGCCAGCCCUCAGACUUGCCUCUUUGCAGUAGGAAGAAGGCCUCCCCACAUACCUUCCCACACUCAUCACCUUAAGCCAGACUCGGUGUCCAGUGAAUAUGACCAUCUCUUGCCCAUUUUCUAAUGAGUGUUUUCAUUAAUGAGUUAUAAGAAUGUGGUGGGUAAAUCUAUGGGCUUUGAACUAGUGAAUCAACUUGGUUUCAGAAUCUGGCACUGCUACUUACUAGUGAAUUUAAGCAAGUUAUUUCACCUUUCAGAGUGUCAGUUCCCUCAUGCAUACAAGGAAGAUAAAAAAUAAUGUAUACAAAAGUAUUGGAGUAAUUAAUACAUGGAGAACUACAUGUAAAGCGUUUAGCAUGAUGUCUGACAUAUUAAGCAUCCAAUAUUAGUUGCUUGCAGAAUUAUUAGUAAAAGAGAUUGCUUCUGAAAGCCAUUCCAAUUCUUAAAUUUUAUAAUGCCACAUUUGAGGUCACCUGAAGUACGUGUAUAACAUGUGUACAUUUUUGCGAUUUAUUUUUUCAAUUCCCAGAUUAGAGGCAUAGAGAUAUCCUAGCAAGGACUCCAAGUGUGUAGAUCUGUCAAAGAUAUGAACAUGAAAGAACAGCUUAUUUCAAUAAACCCACUUUACAUA
RNAcentral lists this long non-coding RNA (6333 nucleotides) under Homo sapiens (human). RNAcentral's name for it is "HSALNT0323696". The record is from RNAcentral. Lineage: Eukaryota; Metazoa; Chordata; Mammalia; Primates; Hominidae.